UACGUAGGGGGCGAGCGUUGUCCGGAAUUACUGGGCGUAAAGGGCGUGUAGGCGGCUGUGUAUGUCAGGUGUGAAAAGCCAGAGCUUAACUGUGGCAUUGCACAUGAAACUGCGCAGCUUGAGUGCAGGAGAGGGAAGUGGAAUUCCUAGUGUAGCGGUGAAAUGCGUAGAUAUUAGGAGGAACACCAGUGGCGAAGGCGACUUCCUGGACUGUAACUGACGCUGAGGCGCGAAAGCGUGGGUAGCGAACAGGAUUAGAUACC
RNAcentral lists this ribosomal RNA (263 nucleotides) under uncultured bacterium. RNAcentral describes it as "partial 16S ribosomal RNA". It matches the Rfam family "Bacterial small subunit ribosomal RNA", at positions 524 to 786 of the family's 1533-position model. The record is from RNAcentral.